ACUCAAAGGAAUUGACGGGGGCCCGCACAAGCAGUGGAUUAUGUGGUUUAAUUCGAAGCAACGCGAAGAACCUUACCAGGGCUUGACAUGGAGUCUGCCGGCUAAGAGAUUAGCCUUCCCUUCGGGGGGACUCACACAGGUGGUGCAUGGUUGUCGUCAGCUCGUGUCGUGAGAUGUUGGGUUAAGUCCCGCAACGAGCGCAACCCCUAUUGUUAGUUGCUACGCGAGAGCACUCUAGCGAGACUGCCGUUGACAAAACGGAGGAAGGCGGGGACGACGUCAAAUCAUCAUGCCCCUUAUGUCCUGGGCUACACACGUAAUACAAUGGCGUUAAACAGAGGGAAGCGAAGCAGUGAUGUGGAGCAAAUCCCCAAAAGGCGUCUCAGUUCGGAUCGCAGGCUGCAACUCGCCUGCGUGAAGUCGGAAUUGCUAGUAAUCGCGGAUCAUCAUGCCGCGGUGAAUACGUUCCCGGGCCUUGUACACACCGCCCGU
This 492-nucleotide ribosomal RNA is filed under the name uncultured bacterium. RNAcentral describes it as "bacterial SSU rRNA". It matches the Rfam family "Bacterial small subunit ribosomal RNA", at positions 899 to 1397 of the family's 1533-position model. The record is from RNAcentral.